AUGGCUUUCAUCGUGUCCAAGCUCGCGCGGGCAGCCCUCGCAUCCCGCCCCGUUGGAGAUAUUGCUGGUGGCAUCUCCCCGUGUCUCUCCCGGCUCUAUCUGGCGGCUAGUACCAGCCGUCGCAUGUUUGCAGCUGCAGGCGGUCCCAAGUCAAAAGAAGCACCCCGAAUAUUUCCCCUUGUUGAUGAGAAUUCCAUUAAGUCGAAGGAAUCCCUAUGGGCCUUGUAUGAAUGCUGGUGCAAGUAUUGGGGGGUAUCCCGUGACCGUGAAGAGAUGGUCCGCCGGUUCAAGUCAUUUGAGGCUACUGCACAGUGGGUUUACAAAAUGAACAACUCUGGGUGUUCGCAAGUGUCUCAACUGGGCCCGCAUGCAGAUAUGUCAGAGAGUGAGUUUGAUCAGGUGUUUCCUCCACUUGAGGAUGAUGAUGAAGACAUAAAAGAGAUGGUGCCAGGUGAAGAUUUGGGCCAGGAGCUUGAGGAGCCCUUAAAUAAUUAA
This 495-nucleotide ribosomal RNA is filed under the name Triticum aestivum (bread wheat). RNAcentral describes it as "partial small subunit ribosomal RNA". Lineage: Eukaryota; Viridiplantae; Streptophyta; Magnoliopsida; Poales; Poaceae. The record is from RNAcentral.